UUUCGAGUCAUGGGUCGCCCAGCACCCCAUAAUUAUGAUAUAAUUAAUUAGAUUUGCCCAAAUUCUUAUCCAAAAGCAUGGUAAAGUUUCUAUUUACUUGUAUAUCCUUAUAAAAAUUUCUAUUUGCACGCCUAUCCAUUAAGGAUAUUUUAGUCAUUUUAAUUUAAAACCGUUAAUUUUUUAACGGCGUUAGAUGGCAUGGGU
This 204-nucleotide long non-coding RNA is filed under the name Phoenix dactylifera (date palm). RNAcentral's name for it is "long non-coding RNA (PDAC_LNC022466)". The record is from RNAcentral. Lineage: Eukaryota; Viridiplantae; Streptophyta; Magnoliopsida; Arecales; Arecaceae.